ACACAUGCAAGUCGAGGGGAAACGGCAUUGAGUGCUUGCACUCUUUGGACGUCGACCGGCGCACGGGUGAGUAACGCGUAUCCAACCUUCCCAUUACUGUGGGAUAACCUGCCGAAAGGCAGACUAAUACCGCAUAGUCUUCGAUGACGGCAUCAGAUUUGAAGUAAAGAUUUAUCGGUAAUGGAUGGGGAUGCGUCUGAUUAGCUUGUUGGCGGGGUAACGGCCCACCAGGGCUACGAUCAGUAGGGGUUCUGAGAGGAAGGUCCCCCACAUUGGAACUGAGACACGGUCCAAACUCCUACGGGAGGCAGCAGUGAGGAAUAUUGGUCAAUGGACGGAAGUCUGAACCAGCCAAGUAGCGUGCAGGAUGACGGCCCUAUGGGGUUGUAAACUGCUUUUGUAUGGGGAUAAAGUUAGGGACGUGUCCCUAUUUGCAGGUACCAUACGAAUAAGGACCGGCUAAUUCCGUGCCAGCAGCCGCGGUAAUACGGAAGGUCCAGGCGUUAUCCGGAUUUAUUGGGUUUAAAGGGAGCGUAGGCUGGAGAUUAAGUGUGUUGUGAAAUGUAGACGCUCAACGUCUGACUUGCAGCGCAUACUGGUUUCCUUGAGUACGCACAACGUUGGCGGAAUUCGUCGUGUAGCGGUGAAAUGCUUAGAUAUGACGAAGAACUCCGAUUGCGAAGGCAGCUGACGGGAGCGCAACUGACGCUUAAGCUCGAAGGUGCGGGUAU
Molecule: ribosomal RNA, 731 nt
Filed under: uncultured Bacteroidota bacterium
Lineage: Bacteria; Pseudomonadati; Bacteroidota
Description: bacterial SSU rRNA
Rfam family: Bacterial small subunit ribosomal RNA
Source: RNAcentral